CUGACUUGGAGCCUCUCUUCCUAUACCUGUGCAAUUCUUCUACGUUUUGUGAUCAUGCUGGCUUUAAAUAUAUGGGUAACAGUGACAGUACUUCGCUACCGGAAGACCGCUAUAAAGGCUGAAUGAUGGAUACAUUAUUCCUUCACACAGGGGAUUCUGAGCAACGGAACCAAAGGAAAAAGAAGAUCUUUGCUAAAUUAAGGUCUUUUAUAAAUUUAGUAAAUCAGUUUAUAAUCUUUGAAGCCAAAGGCUUUUUUAGACUUGAAAGAGCCACUGAAAUACCUGUUUAAAAAUACCAAUUUUCCUCCUACUUCCUCACUUCAUUAGGUUAUGGUACUGCUCAGACAUCUGCAGUGUUGAGAAGGCAGUGACUGUUGGAAGUCAUCCAAGAAGCCCAUUUUGAGGCCAUUUUGACCCUUACUCUUAAGUUCUCUAUGAAGAACGACAUCGAUUUGUUGGCUUUC
This 464-nucleotide small RNA is filed under the name Pongo abelii (Sumatran orangutan). Its description in RNAcentral is "processed transcript". The record is from RNAcentral. Lineage: Eukaryota; Metazoa; Chordata; Mammalia; Primates; Hominidae.